CACACUCUGACUUUGCUUCUUGAAAAGCAAUGAUACUCAUGUGCUGCAUCAUGAUGUCUUGGUCAGCGAGGGACCGCAUGUACGAUGCUGGUCCCGUAAGAUCAGCACCGUGGAGCCUGGCCGAGCAGCAGGCUAGACAGCCUAGGAUUGCGUGAGCACAAGGACGGCAUCACCGAACGACACAUUUCUCAGAGCGUGUCCCGUGGCUCAGUGACACUGACUGGACACAUGAAUACGGUAGAGACGGUUCAUUGAACCCUUCACAGUGGGCUAACAGAUAUAAACGUGGAGUGAUGCCCUUUUAUCUUUUAAAGUUCUAUUUUACUUGGUUAUUUAUAAGACAAGAUACUUUCAUUUUAAUUAUAAUUGCUUUAUGGAUUAAUUAUCACAGUGAUUAUAUGAAUAUUUAAUACAACUUUAUGGUGUUUACCCACAGUAUCUUGAAAAUUAGCUCUUGUGUAUCAACAGGCCGGUGUGAAUAAUUCAUAUUCAUAAAUGCAGCUUGACUUUCAUUAGCAACGACUCCUGGAAGAUAUGUGAGCAUAUUACUGAAAAUGUGAGCUCUGGGAGUGAGUCGAAGUAAUUCUUUAUUUAUACAAACACCACAGCAGCUUAAAUGUCGGAAAAUUUCUUGGAUAAAAUCUCUUUCUUUGUAAUGUUGUUUUUCAGCAUUUCAGCAAUGCCUUCAAGAAAUCGUUGUUUCUAUUUCUCAUCUCCUAAUAAGGUCCUGCUCUCUGACUUCAUAUGCACCAGUUCUCUGUGCUCGUCAGACACAGAUUUCGGUGUGAUCAGAUGCCCCUGUGCAUUGGGGUUUGAACGACUUGAUUUCAGUGUUGAUUCUCCAUUAACGUUUUCGCCUCUGUCUCGUGACGAUUUCCACGGUGGACGCAGAGUCGAGCUGCGUGUGGUUCAUCUGUGACGUUCGUCCUGCGUGAUGGUGGAGACACCCAGAAUUCUCCAUCCUGUGCUCAUGACCCUCUGAAACACUGGUGCUGACCAGCCUCUGGGAGUGGCUGCCCCCUCAGGAGCAGUCAGCACCAUCGCUGCUUUGGGCCCACAGGCAACACCGCUUCUGUGGUUGCUGCCGGUUUGCGCUGCUGUGUGGGGCCCGCUCCAGGCUGACCCAUGUCACCCGCACCUCACCUCUGCUUGGGUGUCCACAGCCUGCGGCAAAGAGGCACUGCUGGACGAGAGGCCCUCCUCGGUUCAGAUUCCUUGUUAGUAGCUGAUUUAUUUAACCGCUGCUCACUUACUACCCCAGUUCCACCAGGGCAGACAUCCAUGUUGUUCACCUCUGCAGGCUGGUGUGUAACACGGGGCCUGGAAUACAGGAGGAGCUCAACCGACGUUCAGUGGCUUGGUUCAGCUUGGGGAGAACACUGACUGUUGGCCCGUUCCUACCCUCCUCACAGACCCUUCGCCCUGUGCACACACCGUGCGCUGGAAGCAGCAGGCCCCCAGGUCUGAGGCACCAGUUUUCCAGGGAGAUAGAUACAGCUACCUUCAGGUCAGCCCUUUGAAAGUCACGCUGACUCAGGUCACGACUCUGGCAUCUCCCUCCCAACAUGGUCCUCCCAUGGGGGCUCCCCCACGGUCACAGUGACUCAAGCAACGACCUCACAAACACAACCUGUGGACCAUACUGUCUCCAGAUUGGGAUUUCAGACCAAAGUCUUCGAGGAAGGAUCAGGGACUUACACAUAUUCACAAUUUUUUCUGAAGAAAAUUGAGGGACUAAAUGAGAUGAUGGGUAUAAAGCGCCUGGACCCACACUAUGUGCUCAACAGUUCUCACUAUUUCAGGUCAAUUUAGAGAUUUCUUUGCAAAGAGUUAUAAUUCCAAUCUUCGUUCUGCUCCACGUGGUCAAGUGUCCCCACGGUUCCAUCUAACCACCCCAGGUCAGCGGCGGACCUGGAGCCAUGUCUGACUGCUCAGUGGACACGUUGCUAAAGGAAAUUUGCGUGCCUCUUCCAUCGUUCUCUGGAAUGAGCCAGCUUCAGCACCCAAUGCGCAGGAAACGUUGGGGGAUAAACCAUGAUCUGGAGCUGAAUCACUUGUUGGUUAAAGACAGUGCAUUUCGUGACCCAAUCAGAGAAGUCAUCGUUAAUGGCGCCAGAGAGAAGCCGGGGUGUCUGGCUCUGUGGUUCACCUUUAGACUGCACCCACCUCGGCGAUGACAAUACGCAGCGUGGCAACUCCACCGUCCUUUGUUAGCCCGGCCUUGUGGAACCUGAGUUACCCAUGGCUGCAGGAGAUGCUGCGAGACUCAUGAGAAACUCACAUGUGAUAAAGACAAAGAACCCAGGGACAAAUCACGUCCCACUUUUAAAAGUUUCAUUUCUACUGAUAGAACUAUCCAGAAUCUUAAGGCUGAAACGAAAUCAUGCGUUUUGCUCAGUCCAUUUGGGCUGCUAUCAGGAAAUCCCACAGACUGGGUGGUUUAUAAAUAACAGAAAGGUAUUGCUCACAGUCUGGAGGCUGGAGGUCUGACUUCAGGAUGCCAGCACGACUGAGCCAGGGCCCUCUUGCAGGUCACAGACUUCUCUCUGUAUCCUCACCUGGCGGAGGGGCCAGGGAGCUCUGGGGGGUCUCCGUUACAAAGGCAGUAAUGCCAUCAUCAGAGGGCCCCAUCCUCAUGACCUGCGCUCUCCCAGGUCCCACCUCCUAAUGCCAUCACCUUAGUCACUGGGAUUUCAACAUGCGAAUCUGGGGGAACACAACUGUUCAGACCACAGUAUGCUUCAAGGAUGGACUUUGAUAAUGGAGAAAAAGUAGCAACAAACAAAUGAAAACUCACUCAAAACACCCAAAUUCGUUUUAUUCAGGGGGUCGCUAUAGUUUAGGUCCACUUAAAAUUUAUCUAACAAAUUACUUGCAUGGCUCCUCUUUCCUCAAAAAAAAAAAGAGAGAGAGAAGAAAUUUGCUAUCCUUAAUUCCUAAUGAACAUGGUAAACUGUGUUCCCUUGCCUGGAUGGUAUGAUCAGAGGCACGAAACUUUCUCCAGGAGCCCAUCCUGAGCUUAGGGUGAAAUGAAUGACAGAUGAAGACUUUGGAAUCCACCUAGUUGUCUAUAUUUUUGUAAAUGGAAAGAUCUGAUUGUCCAUUCACUUAUUUCUUCAAUUAAACAAGAUUUGUCCAAAAAUAUCUUCUAUAUGAAGAAACUAAAACACUGGGGCUUUUUCCUAAUUUAAAAAGUAAUAGAUAUUGACUUCUGUCACCAGCUAUGGUGAAGUACUUGGGCCGAGCUUAAUUUUCAGAUAUAAACAACUAGAAAAGUAGGCAGAAUAUGGAAACGACUGUUUUCAGAUACUGGAAAGCAGGCAGCACAGAGGGCUGUGAUCCUUGAUAAAAAGAGGAACAGACACGAUGAUUCCUGCAACUGUCCAGCGUGCGUGUGAGGGCGUAAUGCCUAUGGAAGGCUUCGAAGGCAGUACUUCCUGAGUAGUUUUUUGCAGGCUUAAAACUGUUUUCUCUAAGACCUUGAUGCUUGGAAUGUGGCUUGACUGGUUCUAGAAGCCCAGGUUGGGUCUCCAUUGCUGGAGUCUCUCGGAACACUUGCCCACUGUGCCCUGUGCCCUCCCUUUGUGUGUUCUUGAGAAGAGUGAGAACACUGCCAUACCAUGGCUUGAUGAGCCAGGUGUAGGUGCACGCCCAGGAUCUGAACUCAUGAACCCAGGGCGACCAGAAGCAGAGCACGGGAACUUAACCACUAUGCCACCGGGCUAGCCCCGUCCUUCUUUUUCUAAAUUAUCUAUAUGAAGCGGCUCACGGUUGAUGGACAUUUAGCUCCUUACUAAAAGCUUUUGGAU
Molecule: long non-coding RNA, 3809 nt
Organism: Equus caballus (horse)
Lineage: Eukaryota; Metazoa; Chordata; Mammalia; Perissodactyla; Equidae
Source: Ensembl